RNAcentral lists this ribosomal RNA (254 nucleotides) under uncultured bacterium. RNAcentral's name for it is "partial 16S ribosomal RNA". It matches the Rfam family "Bacterial small subunit ribosomal RNA", at positions 524 to 777 of the family's 1533-position model. The record is from RNAcentral.
UACGUAGGGUGCAAGCGUUAUCCGGAAUUAUUGGGCGUAAAGAGCUCGUAGGCGGUUUGUCGCGUCUGCUGUGAAAACUGGAGGCUCAACCUCCAGCCUGCAGUGGGUACGGGCAGACUAGAGUGCGGUAGGGGAGACUGGAAUUCCUGGUGUAGCGGUGGAAUGCGCAGAUAUCAGGAGGAACACCAAUAGCGAAGGCAGCUCGCUGGGACGUUACUGACACUGAGGCGCGAAAGCGUGGGGAGCGAACAGGA